UAUUAUUUUAGAUGUAAAUUAUGUAAACUUGAGUAGUAUUAGUUAAGAUCUUGAAACUUAAAGAAUUUGGCGGUAUUUUAGUCUAUUUAGAGGAAUCUGUCCCGUGAUCGAUAGUCCACGUUGGACCUUACUUGAUUUGUUAAUAUGUAUACCGCCGUUGUUGAAAAUCUUUUUAGGGUAUAUAAUUUUUUUAAUAUUUAUUAAAUAAUUUUUCAGGUCAAGGUGCAGUUUAUAAUUAAGUGGAGAUGGAUUACAAUAUUUUAAGGUAUAUGGAUUUUUGUUUUUAAUUUAGCGAUAUGAAGGUGGAUUUAAUAGUAAUGUUAUGAAGACUGUUAAUGUGAUUAUAGCUCUAGAAUAUGUACACAUCGCCCG
Molecule: ribosomal RNA, 372 nt
Filed under: Centrocolumna evidens
Lineage: Eukaryota; Metazoa; Arthropoda; Insecta; Blattodea; Blattellidae
Description: partial small subunit ribosomal RNA
Source: RNAcentral